AACGAACGCUGGCGGCAUGCCUAACACAUGCAAGUCGAACGAGACCUUCGGGUCUAGUGGCGCACGGGUGCGUAACGCGUGGGAACCUGCCCUUAGGUUCGGAAUAACUCCCCGAAAGGGGUGCUAAUACCGGAUAAUGUCUUCGGACCAAAGAUUUAUCGCCUUUGGAUGGGCCCGCGUUGGAUUAGCUGUUGGUAGGGUAAACGCCUACCAAGGCGACGAUCCAUAGCUGGUCUGAGAGGAUGAUCAGCCACACUGGGACUGAGACACGGCCCAGACUCCUACGGGAGGCAGCAGUGGGGAAUAUUGGACAAUGGGCGAAAGCCUGAUCCAGCAAUGCCGCGUGAGUGAUGAAGGCCUUAGGGUUGUAAAGCUCUUUUACCCGGGAUGAUAAUGACAGUACCGGGAGAAUAAGCUCCGGCUAACUCCGUG
Molecule: ribosomal RNA, 432 nt
Filed under: uncultured bacterium
Lineage: Bacteria
Description: partial 16S ribosomal RNA
Rfam family: Bacterial small subunit ribosomal RNA
Source: RNAcentral